This 2247-nucleotide long non-coding RNA is filed under the name Triticum aestivum (bread wheat). Its description in RNAcentral is "long non-coding RNA (TAES_LNC000902)". Lineage: Eukaryota; Viridiplantae; Streptophyta; Magnoliopsida; Poales; Poaceae. The record is from RNAcentral.
AUGUUGCCGUAUGCUUCCAAUCGGUUCAGAAGAAAUCCAUCUUAUAUGUGCAUACCUGUCAGAAAGCAUAAAGCACUCUGGUGAAUCACCUUGGGAGUUCAUGGUUGUGCCAAAAAUUGGUACCAGAUCACAGGUUGUUCAUCCAUGAUUUUCAAAAAGCAAGUACAAGAUCAUGGUGUUACUGAAGUGAGAAGAUAAUUGAUCUAUAACCCAGUUUUGCGUCAAGCCUGCGUCAAUGGUGUUUCCAAUGAUCAACUAUCCCCCUCUUUUGUAGUAUUGACAAAAACCGUGCCAAUGUUGCUACAGACUACAGUUUCAUCACCAAAAAAGAGAAUCCAGUUUUGUUAAAUUAAUUUGUGUAAUAAUAUGUUCAUUACUGAUCCUGAACAAGGAGUAGACAGAUUAUAGUUUCUGAAGCUUCUUUGUCGGGAUGCAUAGGCGAGAAGGACAGCUGGAGUCGCCGCCGUCGCUUAUGGAGCUCCACACCAUUGCCCAGUUGUACAAUAGUAUGUGCAAUCUUCUCCAUUCAAGACUAAGUGCAAAUGGUGAACUCUUGCCAAACAAGAAGAUAUGAGGAUCAGGCAUAUAGGCCCCCAUAAGGUAGCUAUAUAGUAAUUCAUGUGUAGUAGUGUGGAUUAUGGUCACAUUUUGUCUAGGACUGCAGAUAGCUAUGUCAAUUAAAAUGGAUAUUCUGCAUAUAUUCUGAAUUUUGAGUAAGGGCUUCAUGUAUAAGGUAUGCAGUACUUUUGACUUGGGGCACUGAUCAAUUCUUCACAUGCAGGAACAUGGAGAGAUGAAUCUGGGCGAUUGUAGCCACAAGGUGAGUGGCUUGAUCCUUAAUUAAUCCAGUUAAAUUUCAUGGUUUAUUGAUUAGUUUUUUAGCAAGCAAAUUUCUGUACAUCUGAUUGUAGGGAUACUGCUGUAGUAUUUGGGAGAAAGAGUAUGUCUGCACCUGAUCGUGAUAUGCCAAAGUUUUGUAUUUUCUAGGUAAAUUUGCUACAUGGGAAGAUUCCUCAAUGGCAACAAUACACCAUGAUAGUGAUAAUGAUAUACAUCCUAUGCUGAACAAGAGCAAGACAGAAAAGAGUAAAAGAUUCUCUCCGAAGUAAUUACGGAUCCUUCCAGUGAUUUUCAAUUCCAAGUAAUAAAGAAUAUAAGGUUACAAUUCAUCACCUAAAAAAACAGAUCUUUGUAGUCAUAGUAAUGUCUUCUCCAAUUGACCAUACCCUUAAGCAUUUGAUGAAAGUGGAUAUAUCAUCAAGAGCCUUGCAAGCAAAUUUAUCUACAAUAGGAAACACACGAUGAUGACAUAUCAGUUAUUCCAAAUCACCAUAUGAAAUGUUUAAUGUUUACUUCCCCUUGUAACGUUAGCUUAUCUAGCAAAUAUCUGUUAUUCUAUACAUCUGAUUGAUAAGUUUCAAAUAGUACAGGAACCAGAUAUCCAGAUAUAAUUAGAGUAGGGACCGACAUUAAUUAAACCUCUUGACAUGCUCAUUUGAAAGUCAAGUAUAUUUAUGCAGCAAUGCCUUAUUAGUCCUACAGAAGAUACCAUUACUGCUGCUCAUAGGAAGAGAUAUUACACCAUCAGUUGAGUUUAGCUAAAUCUGCAGUUUUCGUUACAAUGCAUGAAUCUUAUUUAUCUUGCUUCAAAUGAACAAACAAGAGAGGAUGAAGUACCCAUCUUCCAGUCAUCUGGCAAGCAACAGUCCAGUGCAUAUUGCAGACCUUCUUAGCAAGCAUCAUCGAGUGCCAUUGUAUCUUGAAUAACACAAUUGUACAGGGAUCUUGAAUAGCACAUCAAACAGAGGCACGCCUAAUUGAAAUUACAUUGGUACAUUAGUACACGGUAAACUGCACAAUACGAAUUAAAAUUUAAGUGCAAAGAUAGGAUAAUCCAGAGUUGACACGAAGUAAUGUCGAAGGACUAAGAUCAAAUCAGAAUUAAUCCUGACAGUCAAUACAGCAAUGAGAAUUCAUUUCACAAUAACAUAGCUCAUACCAGUGGAGGCAUCGAACUGUGCCCAUAUAUUUUUGCGCACCCACGCCCGCUCCUUGUUGUCUUGUUGCGGGCAUCCGCGCUGGGUCGCCCGUGAGCAUGCUGAGCUCGAGCGCAUCCUUCGGCACUUCGGCGAGCGGAUUCGAAGAGGGACGGGGAAGAGCAGGGGCGUGGAAGUCUCGCACCUCCGACGGAGCCUAGCGCUGGGAUGCUCCCGUGCAUGCCGAGCUCGGGGACCUCCUCGGCCACUU